CCUACGGGAGGCUGCAGUGGGGAAUAUUGGACAAUGGGGGCAACCCUGAUCCAGCCAUGCCGCGUGUGUGAAGAAGGCCCUCGGGUUGUAAAGCACUUUCAGUGAGGAAGAACGCCUGGUGGUUAAUACCCAUCAGGAAAGACAUCACUCACAGAAGAAGCACCGGCUAACUCCGUGCCAGCAGCCGCGGUAAUACGGAGGGUGCGAGCGUUAAUCGGAAUUACUGGGCGUAAAGCGCGCGUAGGUGGCUUGAUAAGCCGGUUGUGAAAGCCCCGGGCUCAACCUGGGAACGGCAUCCGGAACUGUCAAGCUAGAGUGCAGGAGAGGAAGGUAGAAUUCCAGGUGUAGCGGUGAAAUGCGUAGAGAUCGGGAGGAAUACCAGUGGCGAAGGCGGCCUUCUGGACUGAAACUGACACUGAGGUGCGAAAGCGUGGGUAGCAAACAGGAUUAGAUACCCUUGUAGUC
RNAcentral lists this ribosomal RNA (465 nucleotides) under Vreelandella stevensii. RNAcentral's name for it is "partial 16S ribosomal RNA". It matches the Rfam family "Bacterial small subunit ribosomal RNA", at positions 338 to 795 of the family's 1533-position model. The record is from RNAcentral. Lineage: Bacteria; Pseudomonadati; Pseudomonadota; Gammaproteobacteria; Oceanospirillales; Halomonadaceae.